This 545-nucleotide ribosomal RNA is filed under the name uncultured bacterium. RNAcentral describes it as "bacterial SSU rRNA". It matches the Rfam family "Bacterial small subunit ribosomal RNA", at positions 338 to 860 of the family's 1533-position model. The record is from RNAcentral.
CCUACGGGAGGCAGCAGUGGGGAAUAUUGGACAAUGGGCGAAAGCCUGAUCCAGCCAUGCCGCGUGUGUGAAGAAGGUCUUCGGAUUGUAAAGCACUUUAAGUUGGGAGGAAGGGCAUUAACCUAAUACGUUAGUGUUUUGACGUUACCGACAGAAUAAGCACCGGCUAACUCUGUGCCAGCAGCCGCGGUAAUACAGAGGGUGCAAGCGUUAAUCGGAAUUACUGGGCGUAAAGCGCGCGUAGGUGGUUUGUUAAGUUGGAUGUGAAAUCCCCGGGCUCAACCUGGGAACUGCAUUCAAAACUGACAAGCUAGAGUAUGGUAGAGGGUGGUGGAAUUUCCUGUGUAGCGGUUGAAAUGCGUAGAUAUAGGAAGGAACACCAGUGGCGAAGGCGACCACCUGGACUGAUACUGACACUGAGGUGCGAAAGCGUUGGGGAAGCAAAACGAGGUAUUAGACUACCCGUGGUAGUCCGACGACCGUAACGUACGUAGUACACUACGACGUUACGGGUAGGACCGUUCGUAGCGUCUUACGUGGUCGCG